AUACGGAGGAUGCGAGCGUUAUCCGGAUUUAUUGGGUUUAAAGGGUGCGUAGGCGGGCUGUUAAGCGUGAGGUGAAAGCUCGGGGCUCAACCCCGGAACUGCCUCGCGAACUGGCGGUCUUGAAUGUCCGUGCCGUGGGAGGAAUGUGUGGUGUAGCGGGGAAAUGCAUAGAGAUCACACAGAACACCGAUUGCGAAGGCAUCUCACGAACGGAUGAUUGACGCUGAGGCACGAAAGCGUGGGGAUCAAACAGGAUUAGAUACCCUGGUAGUCCACGCAGUAAACGAUGAUAACUAACCGCUGGUGGGUAAGUAUCAGUGGCCAAGCGAAAGCGAUAAGUUAUCCACCUGGGGAGUACGACCGCAAGGUUGAAACUCAAAUGAAUUGACGGGG
This 393-nucleotide ribosomal RNA is filed under the name uncultured bacterium. Its description in RNAcentral is "partial 16S ribosomal RNA". It matches the Rfam family "Bacterial small subunit ribosomal RNA", at positions 523 to 918 of the family's 1533-position model. The record is from RNAcentral.